UACGAAGGGUGCAAGCGUUGCUCGGAAUUAUUGGGCGUAAAGCGCACGUAGGCGGCUCUAUAAGUCGGAUGUGAAAUCCCUCGGCUCAACCAAGGAAGUGCAUUCGAAACUGUAGAGCUUGAGUAGUUAAGAGGAUCGCGGAAUUCCCGGUGUAGAGGUGAAAUUCGUAGAUAUCGGGAGGAACACCAGUGGCGAAGGCGGCGAUCUGGGAACAUACUGACGCUGAGGUGCGAAAGCGUGGGGAGCAAACAGG
Molecule: ribosomal RNA, 253 nt
Filed under: uncultured bacterium
Lineage: Bacteria
Description: partial 16S ribosomal RNA
Rfam family: Bacterial small subunit ribosomal RNA
Source: RNAcentral